Molecule: long non-coding RNA, 4916 nt
Organism: Salvia splendens (bonfire salvia)
Lineage: Eukaryota; Viridiplantae; Streptophyta; Magnoliopsida; Lamiales; Lamiaceae
Exons: 18
Source: RefSeq, a predicted model, not a curated record
UUCCCGUUAGAAAAAGCAUGACUCCCCUCCACCAUCGGUAGUCACUCCCUCAUUCUCCAUUCACCAUUUUCCCCAAAUUGAGAUCCCCAAUUUGAGCAACCCUUAAUUCCCGUCGCCUCCUUCGACUCACUCUACGCCGGCGACCACAACGCCCUCUCACUCCCUUCUACGUCCUCUCUACACUCCGGCUAAACAACACAGUCAAGUCACGAUUCGCCCUUCGUUCCACCACCGCCUUUGCUUUCGGUUCGCGAGGUCUCAUCACCACCACUCCGUCGCCGUCAGAACGGAGUUUCUGUGCUACUGUUUGGAAGCCGCUGCCGUGGAAUCACCGCAGCCGAACAUCAGCGCCGAAUCAGGCGCCUCAUUGUCCCAGCUUUGGCGCAAUGUCUCGCCGUCGCCACUAUUGCCUUUUUCCCUUGUUUAUUUGUAUUUUCCUGCUAUUUUUUGUGUUCCUUUUUGGAAUUUCACGGUCUUUGUUGUAUGUCAGUGUUUAUUUAAUCGAGGAAGCGGACAGACUCGCCGUCUGAUUUUGAUGCUGCCGAUUCUCGCCUAGCGGUGAGAGGCGCUCGAGAAUCCACCAAGCAGUCGCUGCCAUCGGGGUCUCACUUUGGUCGGUGUCAUUCUCCAGCCAUCUCGGCUGCAUUGUCACUAUCAAUUUCGUCGGACUUCCGUGGACUUCUCGGCUAAAUAGUUGUGUGGCAAUGGAGGCGUUCUUGUUCUAGUUCAGGCCAUCAUGAACUUAAAGUCAUCGGGCUCAGACAAUAUUUCCUCAUACAUGGCUGCUAUCUCCCGCCUAAAAUCUAAAGCUUUAUCUAUUCUUUUGCACCUUUGUGAAGCUGAAAGUGUAUCCUACCUGGAUGAGGUGGCCAGCAACACAACAACUCGGGAUGUGGCGAAGUCUGUUGGACUCGAGGUUCUUCAAUUGCUGAAAAAUGUUUGGUAUAGAUUCAAGACAGUUAAAAGCUCCCUCCGAGGCAAGUUACCCGAAGGGUCAACUGGAACGUAAUACAAAGCGCUUGGCAGAUGUCGUCUCAGAUGCUUCAAAUUUUCGGUCAUUCAUCAUGAUAAACUUUAAGCUGACAAAGUGUCUAAAGUUAGCAAGAACUUAUGUUCACAGUUGAGUCAUUCUGAAUCUUUAGUUCCAGGAGUUUUGAAUGAAGAUGAUGUAUAACUGCUGAGGUUAUUUAUAAGUCAGUUUGAGUGCCGAAUCAUUCGUGCUGCAUCGGAAGAUCAUUUAGUCCAUGAGCUUGGGAAGGGGUGGACUGCAGGAGCAACUAGCUUCCUAUAUUGGACUCUCGGCCCUGAUGAGAAAAAAAGAGGAAUAAGCUUCAUAAAAAGGAAUUUUAAAGCCACAAAAGGAAGGUAGGAAGGUAAGACGAAUCUUGUAAAGAUGACAGGAAAGAUUGCAGUAUAUAUUUAAAGUAAACAAUUUUAUCGGUCAAUCAAAACUGAAUGUUUGGAACGUAUCGAAGAUGAUCUAAAUUGACUGAGUAUUAUGUUUUUUAUUCUGAUAAAGAUACACUGGUAGAGGUUUGUUUUCAGCAUUUUGGUAUGUGAGAAGGUACCAGGUUUCCAGCAAGGCAGGAAAUCCGAGCUUUUAUUGUAGUCGUCAAAUCCUGGUCUUUGAGGAUUCUGGAAAGACUUUCUGUUUGAGUCAGAUUACAGAGCUGCUGUGUACCAAUCCUGUUGCGUUUGAGGCUACUGAGAUAAUUCACCAUAUUCUCGUGUUGCUCUUAGUCGAUUUGAAGGCCUCUCUAAGCAUUUAGAUUCGUUUUUGCAAAUGUUAUCUCUCGUGGAACUAAGGUGUUUUCCGUGAUAGUUCCUAGUGCAUAAAUAGACUAGAAAGUACUUAGUCGAUCUGAAGGUCAAGGGUGGUAGGGGGCGACUGAGUUCUUAACUUAAAAGAUGCGGGGCGGAAAGGGUGGAAAACUGAAGGCACAAGUCUAUUUAUUGAUUUUUGAGCUUGCUUUGUGAUCUUCUGUUUCUUGGUUGUUGCGCCUAUAUUUUUCCUACUUAUUUAAUUCAUUCUUUGCUGCAUUUUGCAGCUUUAUAAUUGAUCUGUUACAUAUAUUAUAUUUUUGUUUGUUAUACUGUGCUUGACGUUUUUCUACUUUUUCUAAUCCACUUUUUGCUACCUUGUAGCAUAAUUAAUAUUAACAAACAUAGCAUCCUAUUUUUCUUUGUCUCGUAUGCCCUGUACAAAUAUGUGCUAUAUAAGUGUUGUUUUAAAAUGUAAAACCCAUUAAUUGUCAAAUCUUGGCUUCAUAAUAUAUCUGUUAAAUGUUUUUAUAGGCUCUUUCCCAUUACUUACUACACACAUUUCCUUUUUACUUUGGCAUUCGGUUUGCUGUACUUGCAUCUAAAAAAAGAAAUCGCUGGCAUUGGAAGCUGGUUGAGCACUCAAUUAGUGUCAAGUAAAGAUACUUUCUAUGAGGAUCAGUCAUUAAGCAUCAACGUGUGACUCACCUUACGCUGAGUAUUGCUUUACGAGCUGUUUUAGAUGCUUUGAGUAAGCCUGCAGAUUGGCAUUGGAGCAGUUUGUGGACCGUAUCAUUGAGUAUUACUUCUCCAGUUUAGUUUUGACCACCUCACUAUUUAUUACAGCGAGUUGAAGGGUAUAAAGCUGCAACCAAUAUUUGCUUCAAUAUUCAAACAUUUAUUUAAUAAACCUAACUUUAGUUCGAUAUUAAGUGUGCCAUUUCAUACUAAAGCCAUCAAUGAAGAACUACUGCAAAAUCUUUCUGAUGCUCUACACUUAUCGGUACCUGAUAAAAUUGGAGUUGGUCUUGCUUUGUCUAAUUCUGAAGAACACGAUAUCUUUAUGAUACUAAGAAGUGUGGAAAGAAUUCAGCAUAAGUUUAGAGAGCUGUGUGCCAAACCUACUGCGUUUGAGGCUACUGUGAUAAUUCAGCAUAUUCUCGUGUUACUCUUUGUCAAUUUGAAGUCUUUAAUUAUUUAGAUUCAUUCUUGCAAAUGUUAUCUCCUGUUCCACUACUAAGGUUUUUCUGUUAUAGUUCCUAAUGCAUAAAUAAACUAGAAUGUACUUGGUCGAUAUAAAGGUCGAGGGUGGUAGGGGGCGACUAACUUCUUAACUUAAGAGAAACGGCGGAAUAGGGUGGAAAACAAAAGGCACAAGUCUAUUUAUUGGUUUUUGAGCUUGCUUUGCUUGAUCUUCUGCUUCUUGGUUGUUGCGCCUACAAUUUUCUAUUUAUUCAAUUCAUUCUUUGCUGCCUUUUGCAGCUUUAUAAUUAACCUGUAACAUAUAUUAUAUUUUUGUGUGUUAUGACGUUUUUCUAAUCCACUGUUUGCUACCUUGCAGCUUUAUAAUUAAUACAUACAUAGUAUCCUAUUUUCUUUGUCUUAUAUGCCGUGUACAAAUAUGUCUUAUAUUAGUUAUUCUUUGAUAUAUAAACCCCAUUGAUUGUCAAAUCUUGGCAUCUUAAUAUAUCUGUUAAUUGUUUUUAUAGGCUCUUUCCCAAGUACUUACUAGACACAUUUCCUUUUUACUUCGGCAUUAGGUUUGCUGAACUUGCUUCUAAAAAAGAAAUCGUGGGCCUUGGAAGCUGGUUGAGCACUCAAAUAGUGUCAAGUAAAGAUACUUUCUAGAGGAUCAGUCAUUAAGCAUAAACUUGUGACUAACCUUAUGUUGGGUAUUGCUUUACGAGCUGUUUUCGAUGCUUUGAGGAAGCUUGCAAAUUCAAAAGUUUGUUCCUUCCUAGGCAUUGGAGCAGUUUGUGGGUCAUCUCAUUAAGAAUUAUUGAUCCAGUUCAGGUUUGAGCACCUCACUAUUUAUUCCAGCGAGUUGAAGGGUAUAAAGCUGCAACCAAUAAUUGCUUCAAUAUUCAAAUAUUUAUUUAUUAAACCUAACUUUAGUUCGAUAUUAAGUGUGUCAUUUCAUACUAAAGCCAUCAAUGAAGAACUACUGCAAAAUCUUUCUGAUGCUCUACACUUGUCGGUACCUAAUAAAAUUUGGGUUGGACUUGCUUUGUCUAAUUAUGAGGAACACGAUAUCUGCACGAUACCAGGAUGUGUGGAAAGACUUUCUGUUUGAGUCAGAUUGCUGCGUUUGAGGCUACUGAGAUAAUUCAGCAUAUUCUUGUGUUAUUCUUGGGAAACUAGGGUGUUUUCCGUGAUAGUUCCUAGUUGUCUGUAAUGUUGUAAAAUACGCUUCAACCUAACUAUGUUACUUGUAAUGUUACCCCGUUCUAAAAUUUUCAACUUGCCUAUAAUGUUUAUCCUUUGUGAAUGCUUGUGCUUCAGGAUCAGUCAUUAAGCAUCAACUUGUGACUAACCUUAUGCUGGGUAUUGCUUUACGAGCGGUUUUCAAUUCUUUGAGGAAGCUUGCAAAUUCAAAAGUUUGUUCCUUCCUAGGCAUUGGAACAGUUUGUGGACGGUCUCAUUUAGUGGCCACUGUACUGCCAUCAUAUCCUGCACUUUGUAACAUUUAUAGGGAGGGCAGUUAACAGUAUUUCAGCGGCUUAUACUGAACUGAUGUUAGCCAUAGUGCCAAUACUGAUCACCGACACAGUCAUAUUCAAUCUUCAUCUCCACAUGUAGAGACUGCAGGCCCACCAUUUUCUGUGAUCGGACCCGGCAGCAUAUUGUCUGGAUUAGCAAUUCCCUCUUCGAUCCCACUACAACAGAGACCACCAAGUUCUCUAAAUGAGAGUUCACUCCUAAUUACAUGAAGCCAUCACAACACACCUACCCUUCCUAAGGCAAGUAAUAGGGUCUUUGUCUACUUUGAUGUAGUUCACUUGAUACUUUUUCAUUUUUACCUUGUUUUGACUGUAUUAUUAAGAGCUAAUCUACUCAAACCCACAAUGCAGUCACUCAGUGGUGCUUUGCUGUCAUUAAAAUCUGCCUCGUCGGGUUUACCACGUUCUUCUAGAUAAACCUCAGCAAGUAAAUUG